AUAUUUACCUGGCAAAAGAGGCACCAUGAUCACAAAGGUGGUUUCCCCAGGACAAGGCUUAUCCAUUGCUCUCUGGAUGUGCUGGCCCCUGCAAUUUCCCCAAAUGUGGGAAGCGUGUUCACACUUAC
Molecule: small nuclear RNA, 128 nt
Filed under: Propithecus coquereli (Coquerel's sifaka)
Lineage: Eukaryota; Metazoa; Chordata; Mammalia; Primates; Indriidae
Description: U1 spliceosomal RNA (ENSPCOG00000013788.1)
Rfam family: U1 spliceosomal RNA
About the family: U1 is a small nuclear RNA (snRNA) component of the spliceosome (involved in pre-mRNA splicing). Its 5' end forms complementary base pairs with the 5' splice junction, thus defining the 5' donor site of an intron.
Source: RNAcentral